ACGCUCGACACCUACGGGAGGGCAGCAGUGGGGAAUAUUGCACAAUGGGGGAAACCCUGAUGCAGCGACGCCGCGUGAGUGAAGAAGUAUUUCGGUAUGUAAAGCUCUAUCAGCAGGGAAGAAAAUGACGGUACCUGAGUAAGAAGCCCCGGCUAACUACGUGUCAGCAGCCGCGGUAAUCUGAGCGGGCUGGCAAGGC
This 199-nucleotide ribosomal RNA is filed under the name uncultured bacterium. RNAcentral describes it as "partial 16S ribosomal RNA". It matches the Rfam family "Bacterial small subunit ribosomal RNA", at positions 328 to 539 of the family's 1533-position model. The record is from RNAcentral.